This 1008-nucleotide ribosomal RNA is filed under the name uncultured bacterium. Its description in RNAcentral is "bacterial SSU rRNA". It matches the Rfam family "Bacterial small subunit ribosomal RNA", at positions 60 to 1062 of the family's 1533-position model. The record is from RNAcentral.
AGUCGAGCGGAGAUGAGGUGCUUGCACCUUAUCUUAGCGGCGGACGGGUGAGUAAUGCUUAGGAAUCUGCCAUUUAGUGGGGGACAACAUUCCGAAAGGAAUGCUAAUACCGCAUACGUCCUACGGGAGAAAGCAGGGGAUCUUCGGACCUUGCGCUAAAUGAUGAGCCUAAGUCGGGUUAGCUAGUUGGUGGGGUAAAGGCUUACCAAGGCGACGAUCUGUAGCGGGUCUGAGAGGAUGAUCCGCCACACUGGGACUGAGACACGGCCCAGACUCCUACGGGAGGCAGCAGUGGGGAAUAUUGGACAAUGGGCGGAAGCCUGAUCCAGCCAUGCCGCGUGUGUGAAGAAGGCCUUUUGGUUGUAAAGCACUUUAAGCGAGGAGGAGGCUACUAGUACUAAUACUACUGGAUAGUGGACGUUACUCGCAGAAUAAGCACCGGCUAACUCUGUGCCAGCAGCCGCGGUAAUACAGAGGGUGCGAGCGUUAAUCGGAUUUACUGGGCGUAAAGCGUGCGUAGGCGGCUUUUUAAGUCGGAUGUGAAAUCCCCGAGCUUAACUUGGGAAUUGCAUUCGAUACUGGGAAGCUAGAGUAUGGGAGAGGAUGGUAGAAUUCCAGGUGUAGCGGUGAAAUGCGUAGAGAUCUGGAGGAAUACCGAUGGCGAAGGCAGCCAUCUGGCCUAAUACUGACGCUGAGGUACGAAAGCAUGGGGAGCAAACAGGAUUAGAUACCCUGGUAGUCCAUGCCGUAAACGAUGUCUACUAGCCGUUGGGGCCUUUGAGGCUUUAGUGNCGCAGCUAACGCGAUAAGUAGACCGCCUGGGGAGUACGGUCGCAAGACUAAAACUCAAAUGAAUUGACGGGGGCCCGCACAAGCGGUGGAGCAUGUGGUUUAAUUCGAUGCAACGCGAANAACCUUACCUGGNNUUGACAUACUAGAAACUUUCCAGAGAUGGAUUGGNGCCUUCGGGAAUCUAGNUACNGNUGCUGCAUGGNUGUCGUCAGCUCG